UAUAUUUUUCCUAUUUACCAAGCAAACCACGGAGGAGUAUUAUAACAAACUGCAUGAGACAACAAAGUGAGCUUCAAAGCCACAUCUAUCUGAUAAAGACACUCUGUUUCUUCCUUAUUGAAUGCGGUGAACCACAAGACUCCUCGAAGUGGGCUGCAUCAACCUUUUAUUUUUUUCAUGAAAAUGAACAUAUCCAACAUGACAAACGAACUGCACUAGACCGGAUUUAAACAAAAACAAAAGAGUGUUAAAACAAUUCAGGAAGUGAACUACCUAAAAAGAUGACCCCCAUGGAGGAGCGAACCUCUCCAACAUACACAGUGAACCCCUCAUAAAAACGACCACGUGUGCAUAGUCCAAGGGAACUGCCCGUGCACACGCGAGUUCACCGGAAAACCGUCGACGCCAUGGGCCAAAUUGCACGUCCCGUUGGUCAAGCUGCACUCCUACGUGCGCAAAACUGCAUGGUGGGCAGGGCAACCUGAAGUCAGGUGGUUUCAUGGAGGAAUUACCAUAGCCAUAGGUAGGAAACGGUGAAAAAUUUAUAGGGGAGUGAGAUCACCUAGUCACCCAAGACUGAUGAGCACUAGCCCAGGAAUCCUUUUCAUCGGUUUCUGCAAAACAAACAGAAAUCAAAGACAAAGAAGCACAAAUCUAGCGGUCAGCUCGGAUUGGAACAAAAGGUAUAUCAUACAUAAAUUCUUCGGCUGGCGCACACAAGGAAGCCAAAUUCUGAAUCGACAAGGCAAGUUGACCAAGUAAACUACACUUUGUCUCGAAAUAAUAAACUGAACUUCACGAGCACCUUACUUUUUUAACAAGUUUCUCUAACAGCUUUUUUGGGAACUUCAAUCAUAUUUGUUUGUGAACUUCAGUCCACUUUCAGGCUGCAGGUGGGACAAUACAUGGGAGUCCCACCUCCAACCCACCUGAUCCCACUAUGUUUAGUGGGAGUAACUCGACACCCCAUCAAAACAUGCAUAAAUUAUAUGGGCUCAAGUGGGAUCCCAUUUAGCAAAUGGAAGAUUGAAACAUAAUACUCCAGUACGCACUAGUUUAGCAUCCAUCUGCCGAGUCCACAUUACAGUGUCACCCUUACUCCUCUGUUCUCUGUAAUUUUGCUUCUUUCGUUUUAGUUAGCACUGCACGAGCCCACUAUAGUGUGUGUGCGCGCUGUGCAACGGUGCAAGUCAGCAUCGACGACCGCAGUGCAAGCAUAUGUAGUCCGGUGACUAGCUCUCCCUUUCCAUUGGUGUUGAAAAUAGAAGUAGAGAAGAAAAUAUUGCAGCAUGUUUAGAGCUGCCAGAAACACACGACUCCUCUGUUCUUCAUGUGUGUGAGAGUUGAGACCUGACAUUGCCCAGCACUUCGGACCUGCAGUCGCCUCCACGGCCAGGCGACCGACCAUGGAGCACCACAUGACGUUCCUCUUGGCGGCCAUAACCAAUCAGCAGACCUGCCUGCAGCCCGACAUCCGCCAGAUCUUGCUUCCAUGGCCAAGAAGCUGCCCACUAAUCCUUGCGGCCUGGUGCCAGGAAGAAGAAACAGGGGUGCAGCAGCGGCGACGGCCAUCAAUCGGCGGCAGCGGCGGGAGCAUGCUGUGGCACCGUGCUCUACUGUGCAGUUGGCUAGCUUAAUAGGGCAAGAUGGGAUCCCAACGGGCUAAGUGGGAUAGCCCGAUUAACUUUUUCCCUAUCCAAUGGGAUUCCACUAAAGCAAAUUAAGUGGGAUGGACUAGUUAGUCCCACUUGAAUCCACUUCCAUCUGCAGUCUGAGUCCACUUGGUCUAGAUAGUGAGGUGCUUGCGCACGUCGCUUGUGUGAAGUGAGCAGGUCGUGUGGGAGGCGAAAUUGGUGAACACCACCGGCAGUCUAACUGCAUUGGAGCACCAAGCGGUGAGCUACAUCACCAUACGAACCGCACUGCACGCAUGCGAUGGGGGAAGCAAACGACACGCAGAUGAGCUCCGCACCACAGGGGUGCAUCGCGUGAACUGCACAGGGGGUCUACUGUUGACAUUGUCGCUGCCAUCGGGGCCAGGGAGGACCCGCUGCUGUAUACCAGGGGGGCUGCUGCGCCCGUUGGUGGCGAGGUAAGGUCCGAGGCUGGCAGGGAGGCACGUGUGGAGGGUUGGGAAGCGUCGGCGUGUGGCCGAGCUAGGUGCCGGCCCGAGCUCGAGUAAGAGGAGAUGAGGAGGCUAUCGGUGACACCCUGCUGCUCCUUGGAAGUUGGAUCAGGGAAUGAAGAGGGUCACGGCGGUGCCUGCAAAGCGCCGGUGGAGGAAGAUUGCAAUUUGCAAGAAUGGCAAUCGGAGACUGCGGGGCGGAGGAGCGGCUCACCUGUUUGACUCGUGUGGCGGCUCGGUCGUCAGAUCCAGGGGUCGACGUGGAGGAGGGCGGAUUGCAGCGAGGCGUAAGGCUGGAGUGGCGGCAACGGCGCUGGUCAGGGAGGUGCAGCGCUGGGGCGGCGGCGGCGGCGCGACCGAGCUGCACGGGGGCCGCGACCAAGCUGCACGUGGUGGGGUGGCACCCGAGUACCUACGGGUGGCGCAGAUGAGGGUCUCGCCGGAGACCGCCACGAGGAGAGGGCUCGUCGUCGACUUGAUCCAGAUCGAGGACGAAUGGCGGAUCCGGGCGUGGGGAAUGGGUGAUGCCGGGCAGGGGCGGCGGGAGACCAGCCCGAGGGGCACUAGGAGGUGCGGCCAGCUGCGGCGCCGGCGGGGGAAGAAGCCGGAUGAGGUCCGCCCUGACUCGUUGGAUGUCACCGUCGGCGCACGAUCUAGGGAGGAGAGGUCCAUGAGGGGCUCACCGGAUCUGGGGAGGAGAGGGCCACGGUGACCUCGACGCCCCACGGCCGCAGCCAUCUGGGAGGCCGGAUCCGGUGGGUUCUCGUCGUGAACCCACGGCCGGAUGCGGUGCUCGGCUACCCUUGUUGCACGAAGGAAGUGCUGGUGGCCAGGGGGGGCAGAGCGGGGAGACGGUGGUUGGAGCCACGGUGGCCGGGGCGCGAGAGAUCUGGCGGCGUCGGUGCCAGGAAGAAGGUGGGGAGCGGGGUUUCUGGUGGCGCGGGGGCCCCGGCAGAGAAGAAGGUGGGGGAGCGGUGGUUCUGGUGGCACGAUGGCCCCGACGGGGAAGAAGGUGGAGGAGCGCGUGGGGUUGCGCGGCGAUGGAGGCUCAGGGGUGGUGGAUCUAGUUCCGGUCGGGGGGACGGAAGAGUGUUAUCAGAAUAAGGCGAUUUGACGUGCAGAAUAAGCUCUUAAGGUGUUAUCAUAUAUAUACUAGCAAAAGGGCCCGUGCGUUGCAACGGGAAAAAAAUUCAUAAUCUUCAAUGGCCAUGAUCACAUUUUGCUGCAUCACUGAGAUACACUAUCACUCUCAAUUUCGUAAAAUCAUGAAUACAUUUUUAAACUCAUGAGCAUAUUUGAAAUCGUGAUCUUUUUCAAAUUCGUGAACACUUUUACAAAUUAUCAAAUAUUUCUAAAAUCAACAAAGUUUAUUGAACUCAUGAACAUUUUAUACUGUUUGCAUACAUUUUAUAAAAAAUUGUGAACAUUUUUUUAACGAUUAUCUUGAAUCAGUGAACAUUUCUUGAAUGGAUGAACAUUGUUUUUGAUAUUUUUUCCAUUCAUUUUUGAAUUGGCAAAAUUUUGUUCAAUUUCAUUAACAUUUUUAAUACACAAACUUUUUAAAAAAUCAUGAACAUUCUCUGAUUUCCCAAAAAAUUGUUUUCAAAAUUUCGAACAUUUUUUGAAUAAGCAAACAUUUUUCAUCAUGAUACUUAAGAUAACACCAAUACCUCGUGCAAACAAUAUUUAAGAGAGUACCAAUAUUUAAGGUCGAGCAGAAAUGCAUGGAUAGCAUGAGGUGAUACUAAGACAAAUCAAAUUAUAUUCAACCAUAGAUAGGAUAGGCACAUCCAUCAGUAUUGUUUUAGUUUGAUAUAUUGCUGUCCAAGAGAAUUUUAGUUUAGAGACUGUUCGGAUCUCCUCAAAUCUGUGCUUCGCCGAUUAUGCGAAGCGGAGGCUUCUUGCGGUGCAAUUUGGUGAAGCUGCCAAAGCUUAGCUUCCCAAAUCCGAAAUCAUUGGAAUGCCACCACCAAGUCAUGUGACGCUUCGUUGUGAAUUCCCCUUCUCACGAACCCUAUUGAAGCGCCUUCCCAUGACGUCGCCAGUGUCCCCUUCUAACGAGCCCGACACCGCCCACUCGCCAGCCCUCCCCUUCCUCUAUUCGUCGUGCCAUCCAUCAUUGUCUCCCUCUCCUCCCGCUGACCUCCCCAGCAACGCCCUCUUCCACACCGAUUGCCUUAUUUCUAGGGUCACCCUCUACCCCGACGUAGACCACCUCCCCGUCGUCUGCCUCCGUUUUGUUUGUGGCAACCCCUCAGCCCAUGGAAGCUGAUCAACGCGUCGUAAAUGGUGUAGCUACUCCAAGGAAGCUGGAGCUUGAACGCUUCUGAAUAGGCUUACAUCCAUGUUUGUUGCCUUGGAGUUGCCGAGGCCAGAAAUUUUUUGGCUGUGUUAACUUCAGCCAAAAAAAGUAUAUCUACUCUAGUAAUAGCUCAUCUAAAUGAAUUAUGUUUUUCACUUGUAUACUUUGCAUGUAAUCUUUCGCCAAGAUCCAACACAGAUAUAACAUCACUAACAUUCAAUUGCAAAAAAGAAACAGAAAUUACUGACAUUCAAUCCACAAUUCUAACAAUUCUCUAAUUGACCUUUUUAUUCUAUUUUCCCGAUCUAAGGUCAGGACAACAUUUUUAGAUAACACAAUGUAUCAGUAUUAUCACCACUGCUAAAAUAAAGAAAUUUAGGACAUGGUACAAAAUUCAGAAUCACUACAUCUACAGUUCAUAUGAUAAACAACAGUGGCCUGUAGCUCGUACAUGUACAGUAUCCAUGUUAGAAAGACCCCAAGUAUUUCAAAUAGACACACACACACACACACAUAUAUAUAUAUAUAGAGAGAGAGAGAGAGAGAGAAUAUUACAUUACUCGACUCUCCAAGCAUGCACACACUUGUGUUUUGCAAGACUGUGCUCUGCCCCUACAAGCAGACCGUGCUCUGCCCCUACAAGCAUGCAUGUUAAAGUAAAUAUCCUGUAUAUUUGGCAUGUAAUCAGCCCUUGCCGUAUUAUCGGAUUGUAUUCUGUCUAUGAUUGAUACGGCUGGGUCAAGUCCUUGUUUCCCAAGGCAUCUGUACAUGAUGGAUAUAUAUACUAAUAUGAGCUGAUCGCCCAAGCGUGGCGUUUCCCUCAAUUCUCCCUGUCUCUCUUGUUUACAUGGUAUCAGACUACAUCUGCAUCGCAUCUGCAUAGUUCGAUCCUUCGGCCUGCAACUAGACGCCAUGACUUCCUCCGGCCAAACCUCCGGUGCUCUUGGCGCCAUGACCUCUCCAUCUCAGCUCUCUGCCACAAACAGCGCCCUCACCACCGUCACGGCUCCUGCAUCCCCGGCCUCCAACGCAGUGCAUGUGGCCAGCGUCAAGACCCAUGUCCCCGUCGUCCUCGACCUCAAGGCGUCGAACUUUACCAAGUGGCGCAUGCUGAUCACCGUUCUCUUGGGCAAGUACGACCUCAUCGGCCAUAUAGCUGCCGCUACUCCGGCUGCUGAUCGCACGCCAGAGUGGAGCCGCGAGGACUUCGUCGUCCGCUCGUGGUUGUACGGCUCCAUUAGCGACGACAUCCUGGAUAUUAUCAUGGCGGAAGACCAGACGGCGCACGAGGCGUACACGCUCAUCCAGAACUUGUUCCUCGACAACCAGAUGACGCGCGCUGUUUAUCUCGAGGCGGAGUUCCGUGCCAUCGUUCAAGGCGAUCUCACCAUCACCGCCUAUUGUCACCGGCUCAAAUCCCUCUCUGAUGCACUCCGCGACGUCGGCCAGCCGGUGUCGGAUCAGACCUUGGUCUUGACGUGCCUACGUGGCCUCAAUUCUCGCUUCGCCGACAUCACCACUCUGGUCACCAUGCAGGUUCCGUUCCCUACGUUCCUGCAGACAAGGUCUCUCCUUCUUCUUCGUGAGACGCAGCUCUCGCACACCAUGCCUACGCCACCGCCGCAGACCGCCAUGUACGGCCACGGCGCCGGUGCCUCCUCUGGCGGUGCCUACAAUGGAGACCGCUCCUCAGGUGACCGCAACUCCGGCGGCAACGGCGGCCGCUUCCAGAAAAAGAAGAAGAACGGGGGCGUCGGUCACUACCGUGGCAACGGUGGCGAGCGUAACCACAACGGCGGUGGCUCUUCCGGUACCCACGCUGCAGCUGGUCCGUGGAUCUGCUUCAACCCCUACACGGGCCAGGCCCAGCCGCUGCCGGUCUCCUGGCGCCCCGCUGGUGGAGCAGGCCUUCUUGGACCGCGGCCUGCUGCACCCCAGCGCCCGUACGUACCUGCCCAACAGCAGUUUGCGUACGCGCCGCCCCAGCAGCAAGCGUAUACUACGCUGCUCGCUCCACUCCAUGGGCAGGCGUACGGCACUGACCCACCGCCACCGGGUACACCCUCCAGCCACGGCGCUCCAGCUUGGGACUGCUCGGCGCUCAUGGCUGCCCUAAAUAAUGCUGCUGCAUCAUCUUCAUCCGCUGGUGAAUGGAUCAUGGACUCGGGAGCCACCUCCCAUAUGGUUUCCAACCCUGGUAUAAUCUCUCUUCCUUCCAAACCGCCUCCGUUUUCUCAUAUCACCGUCGGCAAUGGGGUCACUUUACCCGUUGUCUCCACCGGCCACAUGACUUUGCCUACUUCGGCACGUACCUUUGCUCUCAAUAAUGUCCUUGUCGUUCCUGAUAUUAUUAAAAAUCUUCUUUCUACUCGCAAAUUUAGUACCGAUAAUUCUUGUUCUGUGGAGUUUGACCCUCUUGGUUUUUCCAUCAAGGAUCUUCGAACCAGGCGCGAGAUCACACGCUGCAAUAGUCCCGGUCCUCUCUACACCGUCUCCGCCGCCGCCAACCCGUCAUCUACUUUUGGACUCCUCGCAUCAUCCGACUCCACCGAGCUAUGGCAUCGUCGAUUAGGUCAUCCAGGUCGUGACGCUAUGUCACAUUUAUCAAAACAGUUUGCUAUUCCUUGUAAUAAUGCAGCCGUUUCAGUCUGCCAUGCGUGUCAACUUGGCAAGCAUGUUCAUUUGCCGUUUUCUAGGUCUAAAACUUUUAGUGUGGUGCCUUUUCAGUUAAUUCACUGUGAUUUGUGGACAUCUCCUAUUCCGAGUAAUUCUGGUUUAAAAUACUAUCUUGUUAUUGUCGAUGAUUACUCCCACUACAUGUGGACAUUUCCUCUCCGCCAUAAGUCAGAUGCAACCACUGUGAUUACUAACUUUGUGGCAUUUGCACGCACACAGUUUGACCUUCCCGUUGUUGCCAUGCAAGCCGACAAUGGCACUGAGUUUGUCAACUCCACAUUGUCCACCUUCUUUACUGGUCACGGCAUCCAUCUUCGCCUUUCAUGUCCCUACACAUCUCCACAAAAUGGAAAAGCCGAGCGUGCUCUUCGCACCCUCAAUGAUAUUACUCGUACACUUCUCUUCCAAGCCCACAUGCCCUCCUCUUAUUGGGCUGAAGCUCUUGCUGCUGCUACCUAUCUUCUAAACCGACGACCUUCUCAGCCUAUUGGGUUUUCCAUCCCAUACGAGCUUCUUUAUCGCAUGCCCGCUUCCUAUGCCGAGCUACGUGUUUUCGGAUGCCUUUGCUACCCAAACCAAUCUGCCACAGCAAAACACAAAUUAUGCCCUCGCUCCACUGCAUGUGUUUUUCUUGGAUACCCCUCCUCACAUCGUGGCUAUCGUUGUCUUGAUCUUUCAAGUCGGCGUAUAAUCACUUCUCGUCAUGUCAUUUUCGACGAACAUACAUUUCCGUUUGCUAGUAUUAACCCUGCUCCUUCCGCUACAUCUCUCGACUUUCUUCUGGAUUUAGUAGCCACCGAGCCACCUCCAUUCACUCCUUCCCUCACGCAUGCUCCUGUUGCACCACAUGCACGUACUACUGAUCCACGUACUACUGCAUGUCCUAGCUCAGGUGCUAGUUCCUGUCCUAGCUCGCCCAUGCAUCAGCCACACUCACCAGCACCUGAUUCUCCUCCUAUGCAUGCCUCGCCUACCUCGGCCAACUCUCCCGCACCUGUCGCUUCGCCGGCGCAAGCUGCUGCACCAGAAACCCAGCCAAAAACCCAACGUGGACGUACUGUCUCUCGCACCGAACCAGCCACCAACACACACCAUAUGCUGACACGCCUCAAGCACGGCAUUGUCCAACCGGUUGAUCGCCUUAAUCUUUCGGCUGUUCACACCUCCAUUUCUCCUAUUCCUAAAACAUACCGGGGUGCCCUCCAUGAUCCUAACUGGCGUAGUGCAAUGGCUGAUGAAUAUAAUGCACUAAUUCAUAAUCGCACAUGGACCCUGGUUCCUUGUCCGGUUGGUGCUAAUGUUGUUUCAGGUAAAUGGAUCUUCAAGCAUAAGUUCGCAUCUGAUGGUGGCCUUGCUCGCUACAAGGCUCGAUGGGUGGUUCGUGGCUUUUCUCAGCAGCCGGGCGUCGACUUUGACGAGACAUUUAGCCCCGUCGUCAAGCCUGCCACCAUCCGCGUCGUCCUCACCAUCGCGGCUUCUCGUGGCUGGCCGGUUCACCAACUCGAUGUCAAAAAUGCCUUUCUCCAUGGCACAAUUGACGAGGUGGUGUACUGUGAGCAGCCCCCUGGCUUUAUCGACUCGGCUCGUCCUCAUCACGUGUGUCGCCUUCACAAGUCGCUCUACGGUCUCAAGCAGGCUCCGAGGGCAUGGUACCAACGCUUCGCCCACUAUGCUCAUCGCCUCGGCUUCGUCGCAUCUCUUUGUGAUGCUUCUCUCUUCAUACUUCGACAAGGCGAUGAGCUUGCGUACCUACUGUUGUACGUUGAUGAUAUCAUCCUCACAGCUUCGAGUUCGGAUCUACUACAGCACAUCACCGACAUGCUUCACCGCGAGUUCUCUAUGACGGAUCUCGGGGAUCUAUCCUAUUUCCUCGGGAUUUCGGUCUCUCGCUCGUCAUCGGGGAUGCUUUUAUCCCAACGCCAGUACGCCAUCGACCUUCUUCACCGUGCCGGCAUGCUUGAUUGCAACCCGUGUGCCACCCCCAUCGACACUCGUUGCAAGCUCUCCGCCGAUGAGGGUCCUCUCGUUGACGAUCCCACGGAGUACCGCAGUUUUGCCGGUGCACUUCAGUACUUGACACUGACACGUCCUGACAUAGCUCACGCUGUACAACAGGCAUGUUUGUACAUGCAUGCACCACGGGAGCCGCAUCUAAACCUUGUAAAGAGGAUUCUUCGCUAUGUCAAGGGCACAUUGGAUCUUGGUCUUCGCCUCCACUCGACACCGGCUACGUCUCUCACGGCCUACUCCGACGCUGACUGGGCAGGUUGUCCCAACACUCGUCGCUCCACUUCUGGCUACUGUGUUUACCUUGGGGACAACCUUGUGUCAUGGUCUUCCAAGCGCCAGGCUAUAGUCUCCCGCUCUAGUGCCGAGGCGGAGUAUCGCGCAGUGGCCCAUGCUGUAGCUGAGUGUUGUUGGCUCCGUCAGCUUCUUCAUGAGCUUCAUCGACCCCUCCACUCCGCGACCAUCGUCUUUUGCGACAAUGUCAGUGCUGUCUACAUGGCCUCCAACCCUGUGCAACAUCGCCGCACGAAGCAUAUUGAGAUUGACAUCCAUUUUGUUCGUGAAAAGGUGUCUCUCGGGCAGAUUCGGGUUCUUCAUGUGCCAUCGUCUCAACAGUUCGCUGACAUCAUGACGAAGGGUCUACCGUCUCAGCUCUUUUUGGACUUUCGGUACAGCCUGUGCGUUCGUCCUCCCGACGCACUGCCUGAGGGGGGAUGUUAAAGUAAAUAUCCUGUAUAUUUGGCAUGUAAUCAGCCCUUGCCGUAUUAUCGGAUUGUAUUCUGUCUAUGAUUGAUACGGCUGGGUCAAGUCCUUGUUUCCCAAGGCAUCUGUACAUGAUGGAUAUAUAUACUAAUAUGAGCUGAUCGCCCAAGCGUGGCGUUUCCCUCAAUUCUCCCUGUCUCUCUUGUUUACAAUGCACACACUUGUGUUUUGCAAGAUACACAACCAGAUUAUGGACAGAUAAUAUACAACAUCUGGUUUGAUGAUGCCCUUGUUCUUGGUAACCUACAACAAAAACAACUAAUCAUUUUCAUCUUCUGUUAGAGAUAGGGGUUUGUUGUACUGCGGGUACUACUAUAGGACAAGGGUUUAGAUUCUCUAUUGUUCUUUCUUGUCUAAAAAUGAAUAAGAAAAAUUAUAUCUUCAUCAAUGAUGUUGGCAAAAUUCUAUGAAGUCCUUCUAGCUGGUAAAUCAUUCAAACUAAUGGCGAUGUUUCCCUACCACCAUACAGGAAAACUUUGUAGCCUGACUGGAUCUCCUAUGAUUGCAGCAAGGAAUUUGCGUCAUUGCCACACUCUAAAACUGGAAUUUGUCUUUCAGGGAGACUGUGUCGAGUGACAAUGGACCUUAGCUUCUGUCAUAUAAGAAGAUCCUAUAUGACAAACUCUACUUCACGAAUUGGAGUAAGACAACUAUUGUCAUUAUUCUUCUGAACAACUAAUAAAAUGAAAUCAUCGACAUCCAACUCACAUUUAGCAUGCAUACGUCACGAAGCACGUCCUUCUUCCAGAAUAAAUAAUAGUAUAAUUCUCAGAAAACAUAUUCUGUUUUGACUGACUUAUGGAAAACAGAAGUUUUAGAAUGUUUUCUUCCCUGACAGAAACUUGCUUUGCUUCCCUCACACUAUUAGUUCCAAUACAACAUAUCAGAUACAGGUUUUUUUUAUUGAUUUUCUUUUUAUGAAAGAAACAUGCAUGUGUAGAACGUAAUGAUAUCAUGUUUAGAGUUAACUACCGAACAUUAAAUGUUUGGCACGUAGCAUUUUUGCAGCUUGAUAGACAAUCAUAGAGUUAUUGCAAAAGCAGGAGCAUGUACCAGAUAAUUUGCAGAAUCACAACAUCUGGAGGUGUCUUCAAAGUUACAGGACUGUUCUAUGUCACAUAAAAAAGUUAAAUCGCUAUUAGAUUAAGGGACUGCAUUCCUUCUCCAAAUUACUACUCGUAAAAUUUUGCAAACAGGCCCAAAUGCAGAUUUGUAUGAACAACCUAAACUAUGCGAUUGCAGUUUCAGACUUUUAAUACCACUUGACACCAAUAUUAUCAGAAGUAUAGAUGGAAGUGCAUACUACGCGUUUAUCACAUCGACUUGUGAUAACCGAAAGGAUAACUAAGCACAAUGUGCACAUGAACCACAAUGCUAAUUCAAGUCCAAUAAACCAUGUGAAUUUUCAGGAAAAGAAUGUUAUGUGAUCCAAAUGAAAUUGUUAUUUAGAUAUACAUAGUGUCGAUCGAAACUACUGUGGCCUUAAGAGAAGCAGUAGACAUCGAGCUAGAAACAUACUACAGGUAGAUAACAUAAGUGCCAGGAUCCAAUAUUCAGUAAGAACAAUUAAAGCACCAAGUAGCCAAAUCAAAAUAUGUCCAUUUGCGCCUUUGUACAGAGAUUGAACAUGCUGAAACGCAGUGGAAGUAAAUCACAUGGGUAGCUGGUUAUAUUGUCUUAAAGUGAUCUUCUCAUACUGGAACCAUACAGAAAGUAAAUAGCAGAUUAUAUCGUCCUAAGUGAUCUUGCUAGAGAGGAUUAUCUAGAGAAAUGAUAAAGGAGAAAUAUAACCAACCUUGACCUGUUUGCAGCAUUUGGCCCCCAAGGCAACCUGGGUCAUUUACAAAUCCAGAUUUUAUACACCUCAUAGUCACCGGCAUCUUGCCACAAUAGGCCAAUACCUAGCCACUCAUAGUACCAUCAUCGUCCAUUGUUCUGGCCUGUUGCAUUCCUGGAUUGCAGUACACCUGAAAUUGUAGGAGUUCAUAACCUGGACACCACAGAGAAAGCUUCAUUGGUUGAGAAAAUUCGUUGCUUUUCACCACCUGCUGUAAGGGAAAGUACCAAUCACCCCAUUGAUCCUCCCUCUAAUAUCAACAAGCUGACAAAGUGGCAAUGGAGACCAAGGCUUAGCAUAUUAUUUCAAUCGAUUUGUCUACAACUUGUGUAUGUCCUGCAGAUUGAAAUUGAAGCGGUGAAGACCCUCUGGAAGGCAAGCCAAAGGAAGAGCACAAGUUUGUUAGGGAGGAGCGGCUGGGACUGCCCAGGCACAACAGAUCGGGAGUAGCAGCUACGAUCGUCGGGGCGGGAGCGCCGCUACCAUGGCAUAGAGAUGCUGCUGGAGAGAAGUGACAGGCGGGGAUACAUGAGAGGUUUCCAUGCCCGGCAGCGCAGAGCUGUGGCAGCUGAUUUUGCAACAGAGUUAAGAAAUGUCUGAAUGACUACCUACAAGAACAUGAGUUGCAUCCUUGAGUUGAUUUAUCCCAUGACCCAAAUCCAAUUUCUUCACUCCAUCCCUACAGAUAACAAACAUAUUGUAAUGCAUAUGUUGAGACCUGAGAGCUAAGAUCGAAGAACAACCAAAGCAAAGAAACAAUUGAGGUUCUUCCAGCAAAGAACUGAAGAAACGACAACAUAGCUGAUGCCAAAAUUCAACACAUGAG
This 12535-nucleotide long non-coding RNA is filed under the name Triticum aestivum (bread wheat). Its description in RNAcentral is "long non-coding RNA (TAES_LNC016247)". Lineage: Eukaryota; Viridiplantae; Streptophyta; Magnoliopsida; Poales; Poaceae. The record is from RNAcentral.